AUGAUGAUGACAUUAUAGCAGACAUAAGUAACAGGAAAAUGGCUAAACUAUACAUGGUUUCAGAUGCAAGUGGCUCCAUGAGAGUGACUGUGGUGGCAGAAGAAAACCCCUUCUCAAUGGCAAUGCUGCUGUCUGAAGAAUGCUUUAUUUUGGACCACGGGGCUGCAAAACAAAUUUUCGUAUGGAAAGGUAAAGAUGCUAAUCCCCAAGAGAGGAAGGCUGCAAUGAAGACAGCUGAAGAAUUUCUACAGCAAAUGAAUUAUUCCAAGAACACCCAAGUAUGUGUGAAACUGAACUGGCUAGAAAAAAAUAGAAAACAUGGGAGCUCAUGACAUCUCCACGAAACUCAUGAAAAAGUUUGGGUCAAAGUAACGUCUGUAUGUGAAGUGAUUCUCCACCUGCCUGUCUGCUGCAAUCUGGUGUCCCUCUUCUUUAUCUGUGUGGGGGUUAGAAUUUUUUAGAAACUGCACAUCAGACUUUCCAUAGAGCUGCCCAUUCACUUCCUCCACAGCCUUUAAUUCAAGAUAGUAAACCACAGUAGAUUUGGCUAAGAGCACUUAAGAGUUAUUAUUCCUUAGAGCAAGUUGUGCAGACUUGGCCUGAAACCCAGAUGAUAUUUGUCUUCAUCGAAAUCAAUUUAGACCCUGGCUAGUUACUCCUUUCCUUUCCGAAUCUCUCAGCCUCAUCUACUCUCCUCAUUUUUAUGUCCCUGCACAAGGAACACAAUGAGAUCAUUUCUUCCAGGUCACAGAGCUCUUGUGACCCUUAUGUAGAAAGACAAACUUAUUUUACUGCAGGGGUAACAUAUUAAAGAACUUGAUUCUUCUCUCAAAUAUUCAAAUUCAGCGGCAAUUACUUUAGUUGUGAGAAAAAGCAAUUUUGGAUUAUAUGAGCUUGAUAGCUAAACCAGGAUAAUUUUCCAUUUCCUUAGUUCUGUCUCCACUGCCAGAUUCAUAUUUUCCCUUAAUU
This 969-nucleotide small RNA is filed under the name Pan troglodytes (chimpanzee). Its description in RNAcentral is "retained intron". The record is from RNAcentral. Lineage: Eukaryota; Metazoa; Chordata; Mammalia; Primates; Hominidae.